This 561-nucleotide ribosomal RNA is filed under the name uncultured bacterium. RNAcentral's name for it is "bacterial SSU rRNA". It matches the Rfam family "Bacterial small subunit ribosomal RNA", at positions 338 to 916 of the family's 1533-position model. The record is from RNAcentral.
CCUACGGGGGGCGGCAGUGAGGAAUAUUGCACAAUGGGCGAAAGCCUGAUGCAGCAACGCCGCGUGGAGGAUGACGCAUUUCGGUGUGUAAACUCCUUUUAUAAGAGAAGAAAAUGACGGUAUCUUAUGAAUAAGUCCCGGCUAACUCCGUGCCAGCAGCCGCGGUAAUACGGAGGGGACAAGCGUUAUUCGGAAUCACUGGGCGUAAAGGACGCGUAGGCGGGUUAUUAAGUCGGGUGUGAAAUCCAAUGGCUCAACCAUUGAACUGCAUUCGAAACUGGUAACCUAGAGUAUGGAAGGGGCAGGUGGAAUUAGUGGUGUAGGGGUAAAAUCCGUAGAUAUCACUAGGAAUACCGAAAGCGAAGGCGACCUGCUGGGACAUUACUGACGCUGAGGCGUGAAAGCGUGGGGAGCAAACAGGAUUAGAUACCCUGGUAGUCCACGCCCUAAACGAUGAAUGCUAGUCGUCGGGGAGCUCGUCUCUUCGGUGAUGCACUUAACAGAUUAAGCAUUCCGCCUGGGGAGUACGGUCGCAAGAUUAAAACUCAAAGGAAUUGACGG